Molecule: long non-coding RNA, 4764 nt
Organism: Siniperca chuatsi (mandarin fish)
Lineage: Eukaryota; Metazoa; Chordata; Actinopteri; Centrarchiformes; Sinipercidae
Exons: 3
Source: RefSeq, a predicted model, not a curated record
CUGUCGCUCCCCUAGGAUGAGUUGGUGUUUGUAUGGAGUGUGAGAGCUGACAUAGAACUGGAUUACUUAGCUAAGUGUGGAGAGAUCAGACUUGUUUUGCCAAAAAAAAUGGGUCCGAUAUUUACUUUGGUCAUAAUCUGUGCUCUACUCCCAUUGGAUUGAAUAGACUCAUGACAUGUCUUCUAAAGGGGCGCCACAUUGUCUAUCCAAGCUGUAGUUUUGUUAAAACAUAUUAAUAUAAUGAUGUAGGGAAACCCCCCUCAGGGCCAGGUGGAGUUAGGUCCCCUACCUCAACGUUGAAUUACUUCUUAAUCAAUACAAACAACUGUAGAGUUCAAUAUGAUAUAGGUUUAAUGUAACUUCAAACAGAGUACAUGUCUAAACCAAGUUGGGUCCUGGGAGCAAUUGAAUGGGCUCCAAUGUGCACCUUCCUUAUAUUAUCCCUUUGCUCCACCUUUGCUCCUCCUGUUGUGGGCCUUCUAUAAGGCCCACCUCUCUUAUGCUUCACCUGACCACCUUUGACACCAUUAUUUUCUGUCUCCAUAGCAGUUGUUUUUUUUUAAAAAAUUUGCAGAUAAUUGCAACUUCCUUUAGAUGGCAUCCUAUGCACAUUAAUUCUCAUUUGAUUCUUUUUAGCUGUAGAUACUCACAAAAUAGCUGUUUAAUCAUUACAUUGUGUGGUUUUAAUCAUAAAACACAUAUCUUGCAGUCAGAAAGUGAAAUUACUAUUAUAGCAAAAGGGGAAAGCCAUCUUGCUAUUGUGUGUAUCUAUGCGUAUUGGUAACUCAGGCAACCUGCCUGGUUGGGAGGGGCAGAGUGCCUUCUACACAAUGGAUACAUCAAUCAUAGGUAUGCAGGAGUAGCACAGGCCGACAGAUGCCUUCAGCCUGUACACAACAUAAUUUAUUGCUAAUUGCAAAGCUAUCCCAACAGUAGAAUGUCUCAACAAGAGAAUAUUUUUCUUCCACAAUGACAUAACCACAGUCUUUUUAAACUUUGUGGGUAACUGGGACAUGAUGACGUGGCUGGUCUGAAUCUUAUAACGUUAGCCUAUGUGUUUUUUGUCCUUAGCCUGUUAACUCUGCUUAACGUUACUGUGUUUAUUUCCAUAACCUAGAAUGCAAACAAUGGAAGCAAGUCUCCGGUGGGCAAGAGGACAGCUUGUUGAGCCGGAGUUAGCUGACCAGUUGUUGGAUCUGAUCUUGGAAAUUUCAUCAGGAGAUAGUGGAAGAGCAACCACAGCCUCGUACCCAACCAGUAGGCAGUACCAUGUUUGUGCUACUCUUGUGUCUAAACAUCCUUUCCUACGGGAUCGCACAGGACAAGGAUAUGAUUCUUGGUUGGGAAUGCUUAAAAAUAAGUUAAACAAGGAAUGAAACCCACUUGUCAGUCCUGAGGUACAGUACAGAGAAAAGUAUGGCAAAAGGAGGCUGUCGGUGUCUUUAGCGGAAGGGAACUCAUCACAGGCACAACAACCAGUAAAGGAAGCCAUGAGUGUUUAUUCCACAAUUAUUAUUAUUCCAGCUUAUUCUCUCUUUCUUUUCUUAAGUGGAAAUUAAAAUAAAGAAUAACCUGUGAUGAACUUAAACUCAUAGUUUGUUUUGCCUGAUUUUCACAAGCAGUAGCUCGCAGGAUGACAUUGUUACUGUUGUUCAUCCUAACCUUACAGUUUACUUUGUCUGAUUUUCUUUCUCGUCAAGAGUUCAUAAUUUGAGAAAGAGAAAAUGAACAAAGGGUAGACACAUCUAAUAGCAUUAUGUGAAAAGUGAUCAAACCUUACACUACCAGCACUUUAUAACUUAACUGCAAAGUAAUGUCAUUGUUUAGAACUUAUCUAAUUAAUGCCUAAUUAACCUACACAAGAUUAAUAUACAAUAGAAACAGCAUUUAAGCUGCCACUGCAGACAGUUAAAGCACACUGAGUGCUUAAACACCACAUUGUAAAUAUCAUAUAUUCAUGUCAGAUACUGUAUUAGAUGUGUGCUUUUCAUAGGUGGCAAAGGCUGUGCUGCUGGUGAGCGGGAACCCCUUCAGUGCUGGAGGUGAAAUCUCUCUUCACAUAGAUGGAGUUGACAGUGCAAAGCCAGAUGACAUCUCAGUGGGAGUUGGUGCCCCUCUCUCGGGAUCUCUUCAUCUUUGGAGUUGGAUAUGCAGGGAAUACAAGGAAGACUCUAAUUUUAUGCAACAGUGAAUGGUUGGUAUGAAGUCAAAUGAUAAAGUUCCAGUAGGGGUCAUUAAAAUGGCAAAUUUAUUGCUCUAAAUGACUUCUACCGAUAUUGAUACACAGACAUUUUGUCAGCUGCCUGUGAUUAUUUUGAGACUUUAUAUUGUCAGUCAGAGUACAUGGACAUUUUUAUGGGAACAAGUACAAAAAAGUGAGCCUCAUAUAUUAAUCCUCACACACAAGCACACACACAGUUCUGAGUAAAGUCUGUUGUAUUGAAUUGUUGGAUUAAUGGAUUUAUUGACAAUAUUAAAGGAGCUCAGCCUAUUACUUAGCUACUGAGAACUCUAACCCAGAAGUGACCUAUUUGACGAGCUUAGCUUUAGCUUGAUGUUGCUGUACGUUGUGUGUUGUGUUCAGUACAGAAUCCACAGGGCGUUGUUUGGUUGCAGAAUAACCAUCUCUUUAUUUCCUCUGCUGUGCUUAAAUGCGAACAAAGUCCAUUUUCCAGUUUCCAUCGAAAACCAAACACUCUGGUUACAGCAUGACAGACAAACUUUUUAGCGCCACAGCUUUCAAAAACCCUUUGCCCUUUCGGAGUCAAACAACUGACGAAUACAGUGACUUCCUACCUUGAACCCUUGAGCCCUUGAUAGUAGCACAGUGACAUCCAAUGUACACAAUAAUUACAUUCUGGUUAUUUCAAUAACGUAUUUGGCUCAUCAUGUUUGGAUCAUGUUUAUUGGAUUAAUUCCUGUGUAAUAUUUUGUAUUUAUUGAGUUUUCUAUUUAUUUAUUUUUGCAAAAUAUAAAUGCUCAACCCUCAAAAUCAUUAUGGUUGAACUUUUCAAAAUAUGUAUAUAAAACCUUAAGACAGCUGCUAUUUCAUCGUCAUCAUUCAGUAUUAUUAUAUAAUAAUAUUAAUGUCAUUAUUUUUAUUACUACAGCAGAACCUUCCUCGCAGAACUUCUAAAGGUUCCUCAGGUAACCCUAAGAACGGGUUCUUCUAAGAACCUUUUCUUGAAGGUUCCUCAAAGCACCUUAUGAGGUUCCUCCACAGUUUCAAAUUGAAGAACCUCCAAAAGUUCUCAAGGAUCUUGUUGUUUUAACAGUAUACAGUACUACCAUACAGCAGUUUUUCAGGACCUGUAGAUCAAAACGUCUUCGCUUUAUGUGGAGGGUGCCACUAUCAGCAGAAACUGAACACUUCCUAACUAACCUGUUUUGCUCCUUCAUAUCAGUCGCUGGACUGAAACUUGUGCGUAUCCCUGAGAAAGUGAGUGAAUGAAGGAAGCGAGCUACCUUAACAACCUCCAUGUCCACUCCUCAAGACUCAGGAUUGCCAUCUAUAGCUCACUACUAACUCACUCGCCUGUCAUGUACAGUAUACUCAUACUGUAAACUUUUGCACAUUCCCAUGUAAAUAUUUUGCACAUUGCACAAACUAUAAUUUAAAUAAGUCAUGUUGUACAUAUGCUUUAUUAUUUUCCUAUAAUAUAUAUUUUUAAACAUUCUUUAAUCUUAUUGUCAAUUUUAUAUUUAUGAUUACUGACCUGCAGUACUUGCUUUAUAUUUCUUAUAUUUCUAUGUUUGUUGUUUUUCACCAAAAUACCAAAGCAAAUUCCUUGUAUGUGUAAACCUACUUGGCAAUAAAGCUGAUUCUGAUUCUGAUCGUUUAUUUAAUCUGUAACAUCUAUGAGCCCCAGGAAAUGGUAGAAGGUAGAAUCUCUAAAAAAUUAAAUUUUCUUUUCCUCUGAAGAAAUAUUGUGAUGCAUAUGUAGCCCACUGAUAAGUACAUACCGACCAUUACAGGAUCAUCAAUACAAAGUGGAAUUCCAUGUUAAAGAUAAGGCAUACAGCAUUAUACAGGUGCUGGUCAUAUAAUUAGAAUAUCAUCAAAAAGUUGAUUUAUUUCACUAAUUCUGUUCAAAACGUGAAACUUGUAUAUUAUAUUCAUUCAUUACACACAGACUGAUACAUUUCAGAUGUUUAUUUCUUUUAAUUUUGAUGAUUAUAACUGACAACUAAGGAAAAUCCCAAAUUCAAUAUCUCAGAAAAUUAGAAUAUUGUGAAAAGGUUCAAUAUUGAAGACACCUGGUGCCACACUCUAAUCAGCUAAUUAACUCAAAACACCUGCAAAGGCCUUUAAAUGGUCUCUCAGUCUAAUUUUGUAGGCUACACAAUCGUGGGGAAGACUGCUGACUUGACAGAUGUCCAAAAGACGACCAUUGACACCUUGCACAAGGAGGGCAAGACACAAAAGGUCAUUGCAAAAGAGGCUGGCUGUUCACAGAGCUCUGUGUCCAAGCACAUUAAUAGAGAGGUGAAGGGAAGGAAAAGAUGUGGUAGAAAAAAAGUGUACAAGCAAUAGAGAUAACUGCACCCUGGAGAGGAUUGUGAAACAAAACUCAUUUAAAAAUGUGGGGGAGAUUCAUAAAGAGUGGACUGCAGCUGGAGUCAGUGCUUCAAGAACCACUACACACAGACGUAUGCAAGACAUGGGUUUCAGCUGUCUCAUUCCUUGUGUCAAGCCACUCUUGAACAACAGACAGCGUCAGAAGCGUCUCGCCUGGGCUAAAGACAAAAAAGGACUGGACUGCU